This 496-nucleotide ribosomal RNA is filed under the name uncultured bacterium. RNAcentral's name for it is "partial 16S ribosomal RNA". It matches the Rfam family "Bacterial small subunit ribosomal RNA", at positions 28 to 506 of the family's 1533-position model. The record is from RNAcentral.
GAUGAACGCUGGCGGCGUGCCUAAUACAUGCAAGUCGAGCGAACGGACGAGAAGCUUGCUUCUCUGAUGUUAGCGGCGGACGGGUGAGUAACACGUGGAUAACCUACCUAUAAGACUGGGAUAACUUCGGGAAACCGGAGCUAAUACCGGAUAAUAUUUUGAACCGCAUGGUUCAAAAGUGAAAGACGGUCUUGCUGUCACUUAUAGAUGGAUCCGCGCUGCAUUAGCUAGUUGGUAAGGUAACGGCUUACCAAGGCAACGAUGCAUAGCCGACCUGAGAGGGUGAUCGGCCACACUGGAACUGAGAAACGGUCCAGACUCCUACGGGAGGCAGCAGUAGGGAAUCUUCCGCAAUGGGCGAAAGCCUGACGGAGCAACGCCGCGUGAGUGAUGAAGGUCUUCGGAUCGUAAAACUCUGUUAUUAGGGAAGAACAUAUGUGUAAGUAACUGUGCACAUCUUGACGGUACCUAAUCAGAAAGCCACGGCUAACUACGU